This 342-nucleotide ribosomal RNA is filed under the name Diolcogaster bakeri. Its description in RNAcentral is "partial 16S ribosomal RNA". Lineage: Eukaryota; Metazoa; Arthropoda; Insecta; Hymenoptera; Braconidae. The record is from RNAcentral.
CUGCUCAAUGAAUUUAUUUUAAAUAGCUGCAGUAUAAAUAACUGUACAAAGGUAGCAUCCUAAUUAGUUUUUUAAUUAAAAACUUGAAUGAAAGAUUUANUGGAAUGUAAUCUGUCUCUAAAAUAAUAAAUAAAUUUUUUAUUUAAAUUAAAAAAUUUAAAUAAUUAUAAAAGACGGUAAGACCCUAAGACUUUUAAAUCCUUUAAAUUAAUUAAUUAAUUUAANNUAUUUUAAUUGGGGGAAUUUUAAAAANUAAUUAAUUUUUAAUUAAAAUUAAACAAUUAUUUUUGUAAAAAAAAUCAUUUUUAAGUAAAAAAUUAUAAUUACCCUNGGGGUAACAGC